Molecule: transfer RNA, 92 nt
Organism: Rhizopogon vinicolor AM-OR11-026
Lineage: Eukaryota; Fungi; Basidiomycota; Agaricomycetes; Boletales; Rhizopogonaceae
Rfam family: tRNA
About the family: Transfer RNA (tRNA) molecules are approximately 80 nucleotides in length. Their secondary structure includes four short double-helical elements and three loops (D, anti-codon, and T loops).
Source: Rfam
GCCCGCUUAGCUCAGUGGUAGAGCGCGUCACUUGUAAGGAUCAUUGGAUUCUAGAGAUGAUGAGGUCGGUUGUUCAAUCCAGCCAGUGGGCA